Molecule: ribosomal RNA, 1372 nt
Filed under: uncultured bacterium
Lineage: Bacteria
Description: bacterial SSU rRNA
Rfam family: Bacterial small subunit ribosomal RNA
Source: RNAcentral
GAUGAACGCUGGCGGCGUGCCUAAUACAUGCAAGUCGAGCGAACGGACGAGAAGCUUGCUUCUCUGAUGUUAGCGGCGGACGGGUGAGUAACACGUGGAUAACCUACCUAUAAGACUGGGAUAACUUCGGGAAACCGGAGCUAAUACCAGAUAAUAUUUUGAACCGCAUGGUUCAAAAGUGAAAGACGGUCUUGCUGUCACUUAUAGAUGGAUCCGCGCUGCAUUAGCUAGUUGGUAAGGUAACGGCUUACCAAGGCAACGAUGCAUAGCCGACCUGAGAGGGUGAUCGGCCACACUGGAACUGAGACACGGUCCAGACUCCUACGGGAGGCAGCAGUAGGGAAUCUUCCGCAAUGGGCGAAAGCCUGACGGAGCAACGCCGCGUGAGUGAUGAAGGUCUUCGGAUCGUAAAACUCUGUUAUUAGGGAAGAACAUAUGUGUAAGUAACUGUGCACAUCUUGACGGUACCUAAUCAGAAAGCCACGGCUAACUACGUGCCAGCAGCCGCGGUAAUACGUAGGUGGCAAGCGUUAUCCGGAAUUAUUGGGCGUAAAGCGCGCGUAGGCGGUUUUUUAAGUCUGAUGUGAAAGCCCACGGCUCAACCGUGGAGGGUCAUUGGAAACUGGAAAACUUGAGUGCAGAAGCGGAAAGUGGAAUUCCAUGUGUAGCGGUGAAAUGCGCAGAGAUAUGGAGGAACACCAGUGGCGAAGGCGACUUUCUGGUCUGUAACUGACGCUGAUGUGCGAAAGCGUGGGGAUCAAACAGGAUUAGAUACCCUGGUAGUCCACGCCGUAAACGAUGAGUGCUAAGUGUUAGGGGGUUUCCGCCCCUUAGUGCUGCAGCUAACGCAUUAAGCACUCCGCCUGGGGAGUACGACCGCAAGGUUGAAACUCAAAGGAAUUGACGGGGACCCGCACAAGCGGUGGAGCAUGUGGUUUAAUUCGAAGCAACGCGAAGAACCUUACCAAAUCUUGACAUCCUUUGACAACUCUAGAGAUAGAGCCUUCCCCUUCGGGGGACAAAGUGACAGGUGGUGCAUGGUUGUCGUCAGCUCGUGUCGUGAGAUGUUGGGUUAAGUCCCGCAACGAGCGCAACCCUUAAGCUUAGUUGCCAUCAUUAAGUUGGGCACUCUAAGUUGACUGCCGGUGACAAACCGGAGGAAGGUGGGGAUGACGUCAAAUCAUCAUGCCCCUUAUGAUUUGGGCUACACACGUGCUACAAUGGACAAUACAAAGGGCAGCGAAACCGCGAGGUCAAGCAAAUCCCAUAAAGUUGUUCUCAGUUCGGAUUGUAGUCUGCAACUCGACUACAUGAAGCUGGAAUCGCUAGUAAUCGUAGAUCAGCAUGCUACGGUGAAUACGUUCCCGGGUCU